Molecule: ribosomal RNA, 763 nt
Filed under: uncultured bacterium
Lineage: Bacteria
Description: bacterial SSU rRNA
Rfam family: Bacterial small subunit ribosomal RNA
Source: RNAcentral
CUUGCUUCUCUUGAGAGCGGCGGACGGGUGAGUAAUGCCUAGGAAUCUGCCUGGUAGUGGGGGAUAACGUCCGGAAACGGACGCUAAUACCGCAUACGUCCUACGGGAGAAAGCAGGGGACCUUCGGGCCUUGCGCUAUCAGAUGAGCCUAGGUCGGAUUAGCUAGUUGGUGGGGUAAUGGCUCACCAAGGCGACGAUCCGUAACUGGUCUGAGAGGAUGAUCAGUCACACUGGAACUGAGACACGGUCCAGACUCCUACGGGAGGCAGCAGUGGGGAAUAUUGGACAAUGGGCGAAAGCCUGAUCCAGCCAUGCCGGGUGUGUGAAGAAGGUCUUCGGAUUGUAAAGCACUUUAAGUUGGGAGGAAGGGCAGUAAAUUAAUACUUUGCUGUUUUGACGUUACCGACAGAAUAAGCACCGGCUAACUCUGUGCCAGCAGCCGCGGUAAUACAGAGGGUGCAAGCGUUAAUCGGAAUUACUGGGCGUAAAGCGCGCGUAGGUGGUUCGUUAAGUUGGAUGUGAAAUCCCCGGGCUCAACCUGGGAACUGCAUUCAAAACUGACGAGCUAGAGUAUGGUAGAGGGGUGGUGGAAUUUCCUGUGUAGCGGUGAAAUGCGUAGAUAUAGGAAGGAACACCAGUGGCGAAGGCGACCACCUGGACUGAUACUGACACUGAGGUGCGAAAGCGUGGGGAGCAAACAGGAUUAGAUACCCUGGUAGUUCACGCCGUAAACGAUGUCAACUAGCCGUUGGGAGCCUUGAGC